GAUGAACGCUGGCGGCGUGCCUAACACAUGCAAGUCGAGCGAACAGACGAUGAGCUUGCUCCUCUGACGUUAGCGGCGGACGGGUGAGUAACACGUGGAUAACCUACUUAUAAUACUGGGAUAACUUCGGGAAACCGCUGCCAAUACCAGAUAAUAUAUUGAACCGCAUGGAUCAAUAGUGAAAGACGGUUUUGCCGUCACUUAUAGCUGGAUUCGCGCCGCUUUAGCUGGUUGGUAAGGUAACGGCUACCCAAGGCACCGAUGCGUAGCCGACCUGAGAGAGGGAUCGGCCACAUUGGACCUGAGACCCGGUCCAGACCCCUAGGGGGGGCGGCGGUAGGAAAUUUGCCGCAAUGGGCGAAGGCCUAUCGGAGCAACGCGGCGGGGGUGAUGAAGGUCUUCGGUUCGUAAAACUCUGUUAUUGGAAAAGAACAAAGCUGGAUGUAACUAUGCUCGUCUGGCCGGUACCAAAGCAGAAGGCCCCGCCAACCUACGU
This 496-nucleotide ribosomal RNA is filed under the name uncultured bacterium. Its description in RNAcentral is "partial 16S ribosomal RNA". It matches the Rfam family "Bacterial small subunit ribosomal RNA", at positions 28 to 506 of the family's 1533-position model. The record is from RNAcentral.